CAAGGGUCAGGCAGACCUCUGUGCCCUGGGAGCUUGCCACCCUUUAGAGCUGUGCCCCAGCAGCGGCUACAGCUCAAGGCGGUAAGUGCUGGAGCUGCAAAAAGUGUUCCAUGAGAAGGUGAGGACCACCCUUAGCCAUGGAGCUCCGUGGGUCACAUCACCACGACACAGGGAGGCAGUGCUGGUGUGGUGCCUGACUAGACAGAAGCCAAGCUUGCAGAAUGCUGGCUACGUCUUCUGCCCCCUGGGCUACUUCUUCACAGACAGAGGCCCCAGCUGCCAGCCCUUCCCCACAGUUCUUGGCCAAUGUCUGCAGUGCCCAGCAGGACACUUCUGCCCCAACAGGGCCACCCAACUCAUCCCGAGCCAGCCAGGCACAUUCAGUCCCCACCCAGGCCAAGAUGAAGCCACAGACUGCGCUCCAUGCCCAGCAGGCAGGGCCUGCACCCAGGCGGGGCUGCCUCAGCCAGACGCGGAGUAUGCACCAGGGUAUGUGUGCCUUGUGGGCUCCUGUCUGCACACUCCCCGCCACGCCUGCCCACCUGGGACCUUCAGCAACCGCACCAACCUCUCCAACCUGUCGCACUGUGAGAUUUGCCCCACCAGACUGGCCUGUCCUAGGGGUGAGUGAGGAGGCAGAAAGGCAAGCUUACUGCCUGCUGGACCGUACCUUUGGGUCAAAGCCCAGCUCCACUGCAAGGCAGGGAGGCCAAAAAAACAGACCUUUGCCCGCAGCCCCUUUGUUCCCCACAAAGAGCACGGUCCACCUCACCUUAGGAUGCCCAAGGAAGGGAGCAUGUAGAGCACUGAGUCCCCACCCCGCUGUCCAGAUGGGGCAGCCUCUGGGCCACUGCCAACCCAGAUGCCCCUUCCCCAAUGCCAGCCCCAGCCCGUGUCCCUGCCACUUGCCAGCGGGAUACGGCUAGAGGGGCUGCUGCUCCUCUGGGCCCAGUUCAG
This 957-nucleotide long non-coding RNA is filed under the name Equus caballus (horse). Its description in RNAcentral is "lncRNA (ENSECAG00000059560.1)". Lineage: Eukaryota; Metazoa; Chordata; Mammalia; Perissodactyla; Equidae. The record is from RNAcentral.